RNAcentral lists this ribosomal RNA (1088 nucleotides) under Vibrio sp. RNAcentral's name for it is "bacterial SSU rRNA". It matches the Rfam family "Bacterial small subunit ribosomal RNA", at positions 55 to 1122 of the family's 1533-position model. Lineage: Bacteria; Pseudomonadati; Pseudomonadota; Gammaproteobacteria; Vibrionales; Vibrionaceae. The record is from RNAcentral.
AUGCAAGUCGAGCGGAAACGAGUUAUCUGAACCUUCGGGGGACGAUAACGGCGUCGAGCGGCGGACGGGUGAGUAAUGCCUAGGAAAUUGCCCUGAUGUGGGGGAUAACCAUUGGAAACGAUGGCUAAUACCGCAUAAUGCCUACGGGCCAAAGAGGGGGACCUUCGGGCCUCUCGCGUCAGGAUAUGCCUAGGUGGGAUUAGCUAGUUGGUGAGGUAAUGGCUCACCAAGGCGACGAUCCCUAGCUGGUCUGAGAGGAUGAUCAGCCACACUGGAACUGAGACACGGUCCAGACUCCUACGGGAGGCAGCAGUGGGGAAUAUUGCACAAUGGGCGCAAGCCUGAUGCAGCCAUGCCGCGUGUGUGAAGAAGGCCUUCGGGUUGUAAAGCACUUUCAGUCGUGAGGAAGGUGGURGWGUUAAUAGCWGUAUCAUUUGACGUUAGCGACAGAAGAAGCACCGGCUAACUCCGUGCCAGCAGCCGCGGUAAUACGGAGGGUGCGAGCGUUAAUCGGAAUUACUGGGCGUAAAGCGCAUGCAGGUGGUUUGUUAAGUCAGAUGUGAAAGCCCGGGGCUCAACCUCGGAAUAGCAUUUGAAACUGGCAGACUAGAGUACUGUAGAGGGGGGUAGAAUUUCAGGUGUAGCGGUGAAAUGCGUAGAGAUCUGAAGGAAUACCGGUGGCGAAGGCGGCCCCCUGGACAGAUACUGACACUCAGAUGCGAAAGCGUGGGGAGCAAACAGGAUUAGAUACCCUGGUAGUCCACGCCGUAAACGAUGUCUACUUGGAGGUUGUGGCCUUGAGCCGUGGCUUUCGGAGCUAACGCGUUAAGUAGACCGCCUGGGGAGUACGGUCGCAAGAUUAAAACUCAAAUGAAUUGACGGGGGCCCGCACAAGCGGUGGAGCAUGUGGUUUAAUUCGAUGCAACGCGAAGAACCUUACCUACUCUUGACAUCCAGAGAACUUUCCAGAGAUGGAUUGGUGCCUUCGGGAACUCUGAGACAGGUGCUGCAUGGCUGUCGUCAGCUCGUGUUGUGAAAUGUUGGGUUAAGUCCCGCAACGAGCGCAACCCUUAUCCUUGUUUGCCAGC